GCCAUGAUGGCGGUCCAAGCUUGCAAGGAAGAAGGUGAAUGCCACGACUUGAUCAAGACCCUGAUGCAUAAGGAAAACAUCACGGACACUAUAGCUCUUUGUAUGGAAGAAAAUGAAAUCGUCCCUAUCGAAGAGCCUGGACGCGGUCGAGGACCCGGUGGCCGCAGAGGUGGCCGAAGGGGUGGCAGGAGAGG
This 194-nucleotide long non-coding RNA is filed under the name Penaeus japonicus. RNAcentral's name for it is "uncharacterized LOC122253636". The record is from RNAcentral. Lineage: Eukaryota; Metazoa; Arthropoda; Malacostraca; Decapoda; Penaeidae.